UUAGAGUUUGAUCCUGUGCUCCGGACGAACGCUGGCGGCGCGCCUAACACAUGCAAGUCGAACGAGCGAGAGAGAGCUUGCUUUCUCAAGCGAGUGGCGAACGGGUGAGUAACGCGUGAGGAACCUGCCUCAAAGAGGGGGACAACAGUUGGAAACGACUGCUAAUACCGCAUAAGCCCACAGCUCGGCAUCGAGCAGAGGGAAAAGGAGCAAUCCGCUUUGAGAUGGCCUCGCGUCCGAUUAGCUGGUUGGUGAGGUAAUGGCCCACCAAGGCGACGAUCGGUAGCCGGACUGAUAGGUUGAACGGCCACAUUGGGACUGAGACACGGCCCAGACUCCUACGGGAGGCAGCAGUGGGGAAUAUUGCACAAUGGGGGAAACCCUGAUGCAGCGACGCCGCGUGGAGGAAGAAGGUCUUCGGAUUGUAAACUCCUGUUGUUGAGGAAGAUAAUGACGGUACUCAACAAGGAAGUGACGGCUAACUACGUGCCAGCAGCCGCGGUAAAACGUAGGUCACAGGCGUCGUCCGGAAUUACUGGGUGUAAAGGGAGCGCACGCGGGAAGACAAGUUGGAAGUGAAAUCUAUGGGCUCAACCCAUAAACUGCUUUCAAAACUGUUUUUCUUGAGUAGUGCAGAGGUAGGCGGAAUUCCCGGUGUAGCGGUGGAAUGCGUAGAUAUCGGGAGGAACACCAGUGGCGAAGGCGGCCUACUGGGCACCAACUGACGCUGAGGCUCGAAAGUGUGGGUAGCAAACAGGAUUAGAUACCCUGGUAGUCCACACCGUAAACGAUGAUUACUAGGUGUUGGAGGAUUGACCCCUUCAGUGCCGCAGUUAACACAAUAAGUAAUCCACCUGGGGAGUACGACCGCAAGGUUGAAACUCAAAGGAAUUGACGGGGGCCCGCACAAGCAGUGGAGUAUGUGGUUUAAUUCGACGCAACGCGAAGAACCUUACCAAGUCUUGACAUCCCUUGACGAUGCUGGAAACAGUAUUUCUCUUCGGAGCAAGGAGACAGGUGGUGCAUGGUUGUCGUCAGCUCGUGUCGUGAGAUGUUGGGUUAAGUCCCGCAACGAGCGCAACCCUUACUGUCAGUUACUACGCAAGAGGACUCUGGCAGGACUGCCGUUGACAAAACGGAGGAAGGUGGGGAUGACGUCAAAUCAUCAUGCCCUUUAUGACUUGGGCUACACACGUACUACAAUGGCGUUAAACAAAGAGAAGCAAGACCGCGAGGUGGAGCAAAACUCAGAAACAACGUCCCAGUUCGGACUGCAGGCUGCAACUCGCCUGCACGAAGUCGGAAUUGCUAGUAAUCGUGGAUCAGCAUGCCACGGUGAAUACGUUCCCGGGCAUUGUACACACCGCCCGUC
Molecule: ribosomal RNA, 1372 nt
Filed under: uncultured bacterium
Lineage: Bacteria
Description: 16S ribosomal RNA
Rfam family: Bacterial small subunit ribosomal RNA
Source: RNAcentral